RNAcentral lists this long non-coding RNA (7216 nucleotides) under Ananas comosus (pineapple). Its description in RNAcentral is "long non-coding RNA (ACOM_LNC043282)". Lineage: Eukaryota; Viridiplantae; Streptophyta; Magnoliopsida; Poales; Bromeliaceae. The record is from RNAcentral.
UCCCCAAGGGCGUGGGGGCUAAUAUAGAUAGGCUACAAUCGCGAAAAACCCCCUGCAGUAUCAAACUGCUCAAAAUCUGCCACCUUGUAUCGGUACACGGGCCCUUGUACCGGUACAAGGCCCACGAAAAUGCAAACCCGAGGCUCGGGUUGCGGGGUCUGCGGCUCUGUACCGGUACAAGCCCGAUGGCCGGCUCUGUACCGGUACAAGCCCGAUGGCUGUACCGGUACAACCAUCAACCUUGUACCGGUACAAGACCAACCUUGUUCCGGUACAAGCUCUGCUGCAGUCUAUCCGAGAGCUGACCAAGGUCCAAUCCUUUUGGGCUUUGGUACCAGCUUAAAACCACAAUUCUCUGGAUGCGAGCCGUAGGUCAGAGCACUGUCUACGACCUUCCAGAAAGUCUGAAAAAGCUCGACACACAGAUCAAACACUCGAACCUCGCAAUUUGCAAAGAUCCAGUGUGUUACAUUCAUCCCUCCUAAAAAGGAGUUUCGUCCGCGAAACUCAAAAGCAAACACAUACCUCAAGACUCCAUCUGAAAAAGAUGGGGAUAGCGCUCCCGUAGUGCGCUCUCCAACUCUCAAGUGGCCUCGCGCUCGUCGUGGUUGCUCCAAAGCACCUUCACGUAGGGAAUCUCACGGUUCCGCAAUCUUUUCACCUCGCGAGCCAGAAUCUUCAAAGGUUGUUCCUCAAAGCUCAAAUCCUCCUGCAACUCCAAAGGUGUAGCAUCCAAUACAUGAGUCGGGUCGAAGAUGUACUUCCGAAAGACCGAUACAUGAAAGACGUUAUGCACGCCCGAUAGGUUCGGUGGUAGAGCAAGUCUAUACGCUACCGGGCCUACACGCUCCAAAAUCUCAUAAGGUGCAAUGAAACGGGGGCUCAACUUUUCCCGAAUCCCAAAUUUCUUUAUUCCUCUAGUCGGCGAGACCUUUAAGAAGACAUGGUCUCCAACUUGGAACUCUAAGUCCCGCAGCCGUCGAUCAGCGUAGCUCCUCUGUCUACUCUGCGCCGUCAAAAGUCGCUCCCGAGCAAUGCGAACUUUGUCCUCAGCUUCCUGGAGCACAUCAGGGCCUAAAGCCAGUCUCUCACCAACUUCACUCCAGUGUAGCAGCGAUCUACACUUCCGUCCAUAAAGUGCUUCGAAGGGCGUCAUCUUGAUGCUUGCUUGAUAACUGUUGUUAUAAGCAAACUCCGCCAUAGGUAAAUGCUGCGACCAUCCUCCCUGGAAGUCUAUCACACAUGCUCGGAGCAUAUCCUCUAAAGUCUGAAUAGUGCGCUCCAACUGUCCAUCACUCUGCGGGUGGAAUGCGGUACUGANCAUCUUGAUGCUUGCUUGAUAACUGUUGUUAUAAGCAAACUCCGCCAUAGGUAAAUGCUGCGACCAUCCUCCCUGGAAGUCUAUCACACAUGCUCGGAGCAUAUCCUCUAAAGUCUGAAUAGUGCGCUCCAACUGUCCAUCACUCUGCGGGUGGAAUGCGGUACUGAAAUCCAAACGAGUGCCUAAGGCGUUCUGCAGAUUCCUCCAAAAGUGCGACACAAAUCGGGUGUCUCUAUCCGAUACAAUCGAUGUAGGCACUCCAUGAAGUCGCACAAUCUCAUCAAGGUACACUUGUGCGAGCUUCUCCCCGGUCCAAGUGGUAUGAAUAGGCACGAAGUGCGCCGACUUUGUCAACCUAUCCACGAUCACCCAAAUAGCAUCAUGCCCGGCCUGAGAGCGAGGCAAUCCCGUCACGAAGUCCAUGGCGAUCUUCUCCCACUUCUACACUGGAAUAGGCAAACUCUGAAGCUUCCCAGCGGGAACUCGGUGCUCUGCCUUCACUUGUUGUCAAGUUAAGCAUCUAGCGACAAACUCGCCAACAUCCUUUUUCAUUCCGAGCCACCAAUAAAGUAGUUUCAAGUCAUUGUACAUCUUGGUGCCACCCGGAUGUAUAGCAUAGGGUGCCCGGUGCACUUCUUGAAGAAUGUCUUCUUUAAUUCCCAAAUCCGCCGAAACGCAAAGUCGUCCCCGAAAGCGCAUCAACCUUCGGUCGUCCACAAAGAAAUCGCCGGAGCAACCAUCAAUCAUUUUUUCCUCUAAUCUUUUGCAAUCCCUCAUCGGUGGCUUGCUUUUCUAUGAUUCUAUCCAGCAAUGUAGGUUGCACUACUAAAGUCAUCAGUCUCAAGGGUGUAUCGGGAGCCACCACCUCCAACUGCAACCGCCUCAUCUGCUCGAACAACGGCGGUUGAGUUACGACAUGCAUCGCUAAGUUUUCCAUCGAUUUCCUACUUAGCGCAUCUGCCACCACGUUAGCCUUGCCCGGGUGGUAGAGAAUAGUAAGAUCGUAAUCCUUGAGUAGCUCCAACUAUCUGCGCUGUCUCAAGUUUAACUCAUUCUGAGUGAAUAAGUACUUUAAGCUCUUGUGAUCCGUAUAUACUUCGCAUCGCUCGCCGUAAAGAUAGUGGCGCCAUAGUUUCAAAGCAAAGACUACGGCCGCCAACUACAAGUCAUGAGUAGGAUAGUUUCUUUGAUACUCCUUCAAUUGGCGAGAAGCAUACGCGAUCACCUUGCCGUCCUGCAUCAAAACACAACCCAAUCCAUUAAAAGAAGCAUCACUAUAAACCACAUACCCUGCGCCAGCGACUGGUAGGGCUAGGAUCGGGGCGGUAGUCAAUCUUUGCUUCAACUCUUGGAAGCUCCUUUCACACGCAUCAUUCCAAAUGAACUUAACACCUUUAUGCGUGAGCCUCGUGAGGAGAGUAGAUAACCUUGCAAAUCCCUCAACGAACCGUCUAUAGUAGCUGGCCAAGCCAAGAAAGCUCCGUAUCUCCGUGACGCUCGUCGGCCUUGGCCAAUCCUUGAUAGCCUCAAUUUUUCUCGGGUCCACGGCGAUGCCUGAUCCUGAAAUCAAAUGUCUAAGGAAUGCUACCUCUCGAAGCCAAAAUUCGCAUUUCUUCAACUUGGCAUAGAGCUCCUUUUUUCGAAGUACUUGGAGUACAAUCCUCAAAUGCUCCUCGUGAUCUGCAUCACUCCGGGAAUAAACCAAGAUGUCGUCGAUGAAUACCACGAUGAACCUAUCCAGAUAAGGCUUAAAGACACGAUUCAUCAAAUCCAUAAAAGCUGCCGGGGCAUUAGUAAGCCCAAACGGCAUAACUGUGAACUCAUAGUGUCCAUACCGUGUCCUGAAAGCCGUCUUUGAAACGUCCUCGGGCUUAAUCUUUAACUGGUGGUAUCCCGACUGUAAGUCUAUCUUGAAUACACACAUGAUCCCUGAAGCUGAUCAAAAUAAGUCGUCAAUCUCGGCAACGGAUACUUAUUCUUGAUCGUGAUUUGUUGAGCUCACGAUAUCACACAUAGCGAAGCGAUCCGCCCUUUUUCUUGACGAACAAAACUGGAGCUCCACAAGCGCAGACGCUCGCCGGAAUGAAGCCUCCUGUCGAGAAGAUCCUGUAGCUGUGCCUUCAGCUCCUUCAACUCCGCCGGUGCGAUCCUAUAAGGUGCCUUUGAGAUUGGGGUAGUCCCAGGGACGAGAUCUACACCACAACUCCGAUCUCCCUAUCAGGAGGCAUACCCUGUAGCUCAGCUGGAAACAUCCUGAAACUCCCAUACCACCGGAAUGUCCUCAGCCCAGCCAUAUAUCAUCGCCCUCGACACAACACUAGCCAAAAAGGUUACGCAGCCUCUACUGAUCAGCUGCCUACUCGAGACGAGCUGAUCGUCAUUGCGAAAAGCGAACAUCUGGCAUCCUCUGAAAAUCACUCAACUUGCCCCGGUUCUCUAAAAGUAACCGGUGCGAUUCUACAGUCAAUCGUGGCAUAAUACUUGGUCAGCCAAUCCAUACCAAGACCACAUCGAACUCCCCCAACUUGCGCAAGGCUAGCAAGUCCACGGGCAUAAUCCAAUCCCUAUCCGCACAGGCAGUUGGGGCAAAACUCUCGAAUAUCAAGGGUGUGGUCGGGUACUACAACCUGUCCUGGAUGCAACAAAAGAAACUAGCUGGAUGCCAUGCAACUCGGCGAAUAGCCGAUCUAUGAAUGAAUGUGAUGCACGCGUAUCAAAAUGCACGAACCCUAAUGCCAUCAAGUAAAAUGAUACCUGCAACCACAUCUCUCGGCUGUCACCGCCUCCUCGGUCUGAGCGCAUACAUGUGGCCACUCGGGCCUGGUCGUGAUCCUUCGCUCUGGCGUUGGACGGUGGCCGCCCAGGUUGUACUGUGCCGAUGGAGUCCCCCUGGCUGGCGGCUUGUAGAGCCGGUGCUAAAGCAGUCGACGGUGCCUGUGAAAAGCUCCUCGAGCCAUUCGGUCCGCACGUGGCCCCCCUGGCCACACUGGAAGCACCUGCCCGCCCGCUGUGGACACUGCGGUGGUGAUGAGAACACACACGAUCACACACGGAAGGGCCGGCGUCGAUCAGAUCCUCGCGCUGAGGUGCCGGGCCACCCCACGCUGCUGGCUCCUGGGUGCUUCGACGGCCUCCUGAGUGCGUCUGGCCCGCACCCUCCGCGCAGGCCUCUUGGCCUUACCCCUAUCCAAGCCUCUCGCCGCUCCCUGCAUCUCUGUCCGCCCGCUCUCCACAAUGAGCGCGCGAUCUACCACCUCCCGAUAGGUUUGGAGGUUGGAGGAUUGCACAAACCGGUAGAUAGACGGUCUCAACCCUCGCUCGAAGAUGCGGGCCUUGUCCUCGUCGUCCCGCACGGCGAAAGGCACGCAAUGCAGAAGUCGAGAAAACUCCUCUCGUACUCGCUACGGUGCGGUCUCCCUGGCGCAAGCUGCGCAGAUCCUGCUCCAUCUUCCUCUUGACGCUCGUCGGGAAGUAAUGCGCUAAGAGAAGUUUCUUGAACCUCGUCCAAGUAAUAGCCGCCAAGUCCGUACUGGGGGUGCUCCUGGAGGUCCAACCACCAGCGAUAGCCUCGCGUCCAGAUGGUGAGUGACAAGCCAAACUCUGUCUCUCUCCUCCACGAAGGUGUCGCGGAAGAGCUUCUCCAUAUGCAUUAACCACUUCUCCACGAUCCAGUGGUCGACCUUCUCGCCGUCGAAGGACUCGGGGACUGCACCUCCUGACACUUGAGACGCUCCAUCAGUCUAUCUCGAUCCGCCCCUCAACCAAUGUAGGAAUGCAGCUCCAACUGGGGCCUCUGACAGGUGGUGCCACCAAAACCUCCUCCUGUGUGUGGCCACAGGCGCCGCACGCGAAGAACUAGGCGCGGGGGACGGCGCUCUCGGUGCAACGUCCCAACGGGUGCUGGCGGUGUAGGCCCUGCGUCUCCCUAGAAGCUGGCUGCCUGCUGCAGAAGUAGAUCCUCCAGGCGCUUCAUUCCGCGCCUCCUGUCGGCGCGCCGCCUCGGUCUGCUGUCGGGCCGCCUCCGCCUGCUGAGUGACUAAAUUGGUGAGAGCCGCAAGCUGGCCCCUCAACUCACGGAUCUCGCCAGAUCCGGAGGUAGCGGAGGUCUCGACCUCCUCAAAGUUCGCCGCAUUGUCCGCCCGCAGAUUGGGAGCGAGUAACGAUAUUGUCACUACAAAACAUCAUAAAAGCGCAAGUUAGUAAACCCACGCCAUCGCUCCCGCUCAAUAAACAAUACCCAAUCAUGCGAAAGUAAAGAAGUGUUCUACACUACUAACGUCCCGAAGGCUGUCUGGCAUAAGACCCAUCCGAAAGCUGUCUGGCUUUACCCUGCCUAAUGGCCCCGUGUAGUCAACAUCCCGACCCUAGAAUGAGCCUUUUCCACGGCAAUCUACUUCGGCGCUCAUCCGCACGGCGAACGUAUCGCAAUGGCCAACUCCGGAUGCCGGCUUGUAGGGAGCGACCUCACAAGCAUGUGCGAAUGAGCACAAUGACAACAUGCUAUCAGUAUGUCCCAAGACCAAGUCCUCAUGUCUACAACAUGGAAUAUGUCACAACUCUCUCAUAGGCCUAUCUCUAUGUCAUUAUGUCUAAAACAUAGAAAUAAUAGAUACCCAUGGCCUAUCUCUAUGUCUCAAUACAAUAGUCUCAUAAUGUGCUAGUCUAAGUGCCCUUUAUGACACUUUCGUUACUAAGUCCAAGCUUAACCCAAAGUUCAUCAAUGCUUAAUUAAGUCAUUCUAAACACUAGAACAUGAUGCUAAACGACUAGCAUGAGCACUACCCAAUACAUCAUCAACACCCACAAUGCUCUACUAUAUAGAGUGAAAAUUUUCUUAUAUAUAACACAUGCAUUUUUGGUGUUUUAAAAUUCACAUAAAUUCUAUUAGGCAUAGAUUUGCAUUUAAAAAUAGUAAACGGAAGGUUUAGAAAGCUUAGGGGCCAUUUCGCCCCGUUUUCAUGAAGCCAAACCCACCGAUGACAACGAAACUCUUCGUUUGCUCCAAUGAAGGCGUCCCCUAGCCUCCUAGUACCCUAGAGGUAUAAAAACAAGUGUCACAUGAACCAAACGAACAAUACUUAGCUCGAUCAUUAAGCUAAUCAAGCAUAGGUGAGGAAAACUCACCUCUAAUGCAAAAAUCUCCUCUAAAGCUUCAAAAGGGAGUUAGAAUCCUUCCAAUCCAAGCCAAAGGAAGAUUCUAAUCCCAACAAUCUAGCCACAAAAGCCCUAGAUUCAAAAUGCCCAAAAAUAAGCCCUAAAACCUCAUUCUAGGGUUUAAUUCCAAAAAUAUCAUCAAAGCUAGGAAUUUAGAGGAAAGAACGAGUCAUUUACCUCUAAAAUGCUCCAAUCCAAGCUCUAAACCUUCAAAGUCCAAAGAUCUCUCCUCCACCAAGCCUCAAAUCCAAGCUUCUAGCUCCAUCAAUGGUGGAAAAUGCUCUAGGAAGCAAAAGAGAGCAAAAUGCUUUCUAAAUCCAAGCAAAAAGAAGUAAAAUCCAAGGGGGGAAGAAGAGAGGAAGCCCUUACCUUCUUCUCCUGUGAUCUCAGCUCAGGGAGAGUCCCCAAGGGCGUGAGGGCUGAUAUAGAUAGGCUACAAUCGCGAAAAACCCCCUAUAGUAUCAAACUGCUCAAAAUCUGCCACCUUGUACCGGUACACGGGCCCUUGUACCGGUACAAGGCCCACGAAAAUGCAAACCCAAGGCUCGGGUUGCGGGGUCUGCGGCUCUGUACCGGUACAAGCCCGAUGGCUGUACCGGUACAACCAUCAACCUUGUACCGGUACAAGACCAACCUUGUUCCGGUACAAGCUCUGCUGCAGGCUACCCGGGAGCUGACCAAGGUCCAAUCCUUUUGGGCUUUUGGUACCAGCUUAAAACCACAAUUCUCGGGAUGCGAGCC